AACGAACGCUGGCGGCAUGCCUAACACAUGCAAGUCGAACGAGACCUUCGGGUCUAGUGGCGCACGGGUGCGUAACGCGUGGGAACCUGCCCUUAGGUUCGGAAUAACUCCCCGAAAGGGGGUCCUAUUCCGGGAUAUUGUUUUCGGCCCAAAGAUUUAUCGCCUUUGGAUGGGCCCGCGUUGGAUUAGCUAGUUGGUAGGGUAAAAGCCUACCAAGGCGACGAUCCAUAGUUGGUCUGAGAGGAUGAUCAGCCACACUGGGACUGAGACACGGCCCAGACUCCUACGGGAGGCAGCAGUGGGGAAUAUUGGACAAUGGGCGAAAGCCUGAUCCAGCAAUGCCGCGUGAGUGAUGAAGGCCUUAGGGUUGUAAAGCUCUUUUACCCGGGAUGAUAAUGACAGUACCGGGAGAAUAAGCUCCGGCUAACUCCG
RNAcentral lists this ribosomal RNA (432 nucleotides) under uncultured bacterium. Its description in RNAcentral is "partial 16S ribosomal RNA". It matches the Rfam family "Bacterial small subunit ribosomal RNA", at positions 29 to 505 of the family's 1533-position model. The record is from RNAcentral.